This 208-nucleotide ribosomal RNA is filed under the name uncultured bacterium. RNAcentral's name for it is "partial 16S ribosomal RNA". It matches the Rfam family "Bacterial small subunit ribosomal RNA", at positions 568 to 774 of the family's 1533-position model. The record is from RNAcentral.
CGCGUAGGCGGCCUCUGCAAGUCGACUGUGAAAUCUCCGGGCUUAACCCGGAACGGUCAGCCGAUACUGCAGGGCUAGAGUGCAGAAGGGGCAACUGGAAUUCUCGGUGUAGCGGUGAAAUGCGUAGAUAUCGAGAGGAACACCUGCGGCGAAGGCGGGUUGCUGGGCUGACACUGACGCUGAGGCGCGAAAGCUAGGGGAGCGAACG